RNAcentral lists this long non-coding RNA (1598 nucleotides) under Pan troglodytes (chimpanzee). RNAcentral describes it as "long non-coding RNA NONPTRT011012". Lineage: Eukaryota; Metazoa; Chordata; Mammalia; Primates; Hominidae. The record is from RNAcentral.
GCCUUUGCCGCCAAGCUUCCAGGGAGCUGCUGGGCGAAGGCUGAGACCCAGCGGCCCUGCCUCACAGUCACAGAGAGAAGAGCUCCCCACUUGGCCCUAACUCAUAACCUGCCCCAAUCCCGGAACACUCGGUGAGGUUUGAGAGAUGCACACCACGUAACAUCUCGUGGGCGAAUCAAGGCACAGCAACGCAGUGGAGCCUGAGGGGAGCCGGGCACUGGUGCAGGGGACCAUGCACAGGGCACCCUCGGAGCUCCGUUCCCGGCCACAGGAGCCAAGGCAGGCUGGAGUGUCCAGCACCUGCAUGCUGGGGGCCUCUGCUGCGCCACUGGCAGUGGGAAUGGAAGCCCCCACCUCUUAGCCGCCUGCAGAUGGGGGUGUCGUGUUCUGCUCAUCGUCAUUUCGUUUUAGGGGUUUUUCUGUAAGACUGAAGAUGACUUCAGUGAUUGGUGCCAGCAAGUCAAAAAGCUGUCUCUGCUCGGAGGUGCCCUGCCCAUGUUUGAGCUGGUGGAGCAGCAGCCUUCACAUCUGGCCUGCCCCGACGUCCUGAACCUGUCCCUAGAUUCUUCUGAUGUAGAGCGACUGGAAAGAUUCUUCGACUCAGAAGAUGAAGACUUUGAAAUCCUGUCCCUUUGAAAAUCCUGGGGUCGGGGGUGGCACCUGUGAGAGCCUGGGGCUCCUGGUGCCGCUGCGUUCCAUCCAUCCCGCCCGCUCGCCUGCCGAGGGCUGCGCCCCGUGCUGCCUCCCCCCAGAGGGCCACCCGCUGUGCUCGUGGACUGAGGCUGCGCUGCCCGGGAGGCCUUACUGCUUGGUGUCAGACUGCCCAGCUCAGAGUGCCCGUCAGGGCCUGUGCAUCCGCACGUGGAGCCGUCUGUUAGGAGCUUCCAGAGCAUUCUCUCGACACUGCCAGCCCCGUGUUAGCGCCUGGGCCUCAGUCCCACUUGCUCCCAGGCGCCGGUUCUGUGGUUGGUUUGGAAUUAAAGUCCUGUUUGAAGUUGUCAGACACAGACAUGAAUUUCUGGGGCGCUCCCUGAGUCAGAGUCUCAGAAGACCUGUGCAGGCUGGCGUGAGAGGAGCGGCAGCUACACUGCGGCCCCACGUCCAAGGACUAGGCUGCUCUCCAGGGGGGCGCGCCCACCGCUGUGUCCUCUCUGCCCAGCCUGGCUUACCAAGGGCUACCUCAGUGGGAGAUGAGGUUGGAGGAAUGAAGGACUCGCUGCUGCUGCUGCUGCUUGUGUAGGUGGGGGAGCCGGAGAUCCCUGAGGACGCGCGCCGGACACUCGGCACUGACCGGCCCACCUGGUAGCAGAGGACACCCCCAGCCCCCCAAGCAUUGAAGACAUAGUGUAUUUCCUCGUAUCCUUUCUCCCUUGGGUGUAGUUGGGGUGGGGAAGCAGGGAAGGCUGAUGCGAUCUCCAUUCCUUGGGCUCCGCGUCCGAGUUCAUGGUGCGCCGCUGUGCUGGGAGCUGCAGUGGGAAUGUGUGGGACACCUUGACCAAAGGGGAGCUUUGUCUUGUGUGUUUUGAAAAAGGCUUAAUGAAGACAAUGUUGUUCAUUCUUAGUAGUAUAGUUUGCAAUUCUUAAUGGCAAAUAAUAAG